CCUGAUUGGGUAGGGGAGCGUUGUGUAAGCGGAAGAAGGUGACUCGAGAGGGUUGCUGGACGUAUCACAAGUGCGAAUGCUGACAUAAGUAACGAUAAAGGGGGUGAAAAACCCCCUCGCCGGAAGACCAAGGGUUCCUGUCCAACGUUAAUCGGGGCAGGGUGAGUCGGCCCCUAAGGCGAGGCUGAAGAGCGUAGUCGAUGGGAAACGGGUUAAUAUUCCCGUACUUGUGAUAAGAGCGAUGUGGGGACGGAGCAGGUUAGGUUAUCCGGGUGACGGAAGUCCCGGUCCAAGCGUGUAGGAUGGAUGAUUAGGCAAAUCCGGUCAUCUAAAUCAGAGGCGUGACGGGGAGGCACUACGGUGCUGAAGUAACCGAUACCACACUUCCAGGAAAAGCCGCUAAGCUUAUCUUAUCAUAAACCGUA
The sequence is a ribosomal RNA, 425 nucleotides long. It matches the Rfam family "Bacterial large subunit ribosomal RNA", at positions 1219 to 1646 of the family's 2925-position model.